AGAGUUUGAUCCUGGCUCAGAACGAACGCUGGCGGCGUGCCUAACACAUGCAAGUCGAGCGCGAAUGGAGCAAUCCUAGUAGAGCGGCGCACGGGUGCGUAACACGUGGAUAAUCUGCCUGGAAGAUCGGAAUAACCUGCCGAAAGGCAAGCUAAUACCGGAUAAGCCCACCAAGGACUUCGGUCCCAGUGGGAAAAGGU
RNAcentral lists this ribosomal RNA (200 nucleotides) under uncultured bacterium. Its description in RNAcentral is "partial 16S ribosomal RNA". It matches the Rfam family "Bacterial small subunit ribosomal RNA", at positions 8 to 208 of the family's 1533-position model. The record is from RNAcentral.